AGUCCUACGGGAGGCAGCAGUGGGGGAUAUUGCACAAUGGGCGAAAGCCUGAUGCAGCGACGCCGCGUGAGGGAAGACGGUCUUCGGAUUGUAAACCUCUGUCUUUGGGGAAGAAAAUGACGGUACCCAAAGAGGAAGCUCUGGCUAACUACGUGCCAGCAGCCGCGGUAAUACGUAGGGAGCAGGCGUUGUCCGGAAUUACUGGGUGUAAAGGGAGUGUAGGCGGGAUGGCAAGUAGAAUGUUAAAUCCAUCGGCUCCACCGGUGGCUGCGUUCUAAACUGCCGUUCUGGAGUGAAG
RNAcentral lists this ribosomal RNA (298 nucleotides) under uncultured bacterium. Its description in RNAcentral is "partial 16S ribosomal RNA". It matches the Rfam family "Bacterial small subunit ribosomal RNA", at positions 335 to 651 of the family's 1533-position model. The record is from RNAcentral.